GAUGAACGCUAGCUAUAGGCUUAACACAUGCAAGUCGAGGGGAAACGGCAUGAGAUGCUUGCAUCUUAUGGACGUCGACCGGCGUACGGGUGAGUAACGCGUAUCCAACCUGCCCGCGAGUAGGGGAUAACCCGCAGAAAUGCGGACUAAUACCCUAUAUGCUCACGAGAGGCUCCUGCCUUGGUGAGGAAAGAUUUAUCACUGACAGAUGGACAUGCGUCCCAUUAGCUGGUUGGUAGGGUAACGGCCUACCAAGGCAACGAUGGGUAGGGGAACUGAGAGGUUUAUCCCCCACAUUGGUACUGAGACACGGACCAA
This 318-nucleotide ribosomal RNA is filed under the name uncultured bacterium. RNAcentral's name for it is "bacterial SSU rRNA". It matches the Rfam family "Bacterial small subunit ribosomal RNA", at positions 28 to 334 of the family's 1533-position model. The record is from RNAcentral.